CGCGGAAAGACUAACUUAAACAAUUUCGUACACGCGGGGAACAAAAUUUUCCCACUUUACUUCACUCACUCUCUCUCGCCCUUCCCCGAAACCUAUCCCCCUCCUCCUCCUCCUCUCUCUCUCUCUCUCUUACCCCCGUCCACACUGAACUGGAACCACAAAACCCUAGAAAACGAAUUCGAAGAGAUUUCUUUGUGGCUCAUCUCGGAGGUGCAGCCUGGCGUUGACUCGUCGGAGGAUGGCGAAGAAGAUGGUGGCUACGGUGAGCCCACUCCGGUGGUUGGAGAUCGUGACGGAGAAGAGAGUGUCCUCCAGAUCCACUUUGUCUCGUGGAGUUCUUGUUUCCUUUCUGUUCAGCACCCAACCUCCUCCUCCAUCUCCAAACGGCACCGAACCGUCCUCUUCUUCCUUCUCCACCUCCGACCAGAACCCGUCUAAGAACGAAGAGGAGAGAGAGGUCGGGUGCGAGGGGUUAGGGCUCAAAGAUGGUGGAUGUUCCAGAGUUCAAGGCCUCCGUUUCAGAGACGAAUUGGAGCAACUCCGAAAGAAGUCUGGGUAAUUUGAAUCUUUUUAGUUUAUGGAUUUGGUUUUGUGUCUUUGAAGUAUUUGUGAGUGGUUUUCUUAAGUUUCUUCACUUUUGUGUGAUUCCUUCUUUAAUUUAUUGAAUGGAUUGGAUUAUUGGCAUGAUAGUCAUAUGAAGAUAUAGAUCCUCUAGGCUUUUUUUUUGAUUGAGGAUGGAACAGAAAAUUGAACUAUCGCCAAAAAUGGUAUACCCAGAAAAGUUCUGCUGUUGAUUUUAUGAAAUUCAUAACUUCAGAGAUAUAUUGACUGCAGAGGAGCUUAAUCCCUUUCUUGAUGGCUCUGCACAAUCACAGAUGCACUUCCUUUGACAAUUAUUUUACUUUGUUCGUCAGUUACACUACUUUUGUACAUAUGUGAAGGUAUCCAUCUGCCCACGGAGCAGUAUUGCUUUCGCUUGUGAAAACUGAAAAGUUGAACCCUUGAUGUGCUAUUUUCAAAGGGCCAUUGAUAAAGCACUUCUCUUCCCUUGUCAAGUGGACGAGGGCGGCAUCUGCCAAAGCACCCCAAUCAGAUGGGAAUGUUGUUCAGUUUGAGAGUGGGUACUUAGUCGAGACUGUUGUGGAAGGAACUGACAUUGGAGUUGUUCCUUUCAAGAUCCGCAUUUCAGAGGAUGGCGAGCUCUUUGCUGUGGAUUCUAUUAAUAGCAACAUUGUUCGGAUUACUCCUCCGUUGUCCCAAUGUAUGCAAAAGUAUUUACUUGCAGUUGACACAUUUACUUCAAAGUAUUUACUUUCAAGGUAUCAUUUAUGCUCUUCCAAUUGACACAUUGUUUUCCAAAGUUUGUUUACUUGCAGUUUAUGCUUCUUCUACCCUUUUUCUACUUUGUCUGCACUGUCAUAUUAUGGAUUGUUGUUUUUGAGCAUUGGUGAGGUUAUUUCAUUAUCAUCAAUGAGAGAUCUCACCAAAGUUCCCUUAAUUAAAAGACAAGUCACUAGUUCUGGUUCAUGAUCGAUCUUGAAGCAAAGAAAGGAUUGAGGAAUAACGCAAGGACAUGCAAAAGUUUAUUUGUUUUCCUCGAGAGUGUUCAUGCGCACACUCUUCUCUUUCUCAAUGCAUUUAUUUCAUUGUCCCUUUGAUAUCAUCAGUCAGAGAUCUCACCAAAGUCCCCCUAUUGGUAAAACAAAUUUCUAGUUCUGGUUCUUAUCAGAUAAAACUCUCAAUUUACUAAUACUUCACCAAUCAUUAGUAACCAUCAUCAUAAUUAUUAUUUAUGCUAUUCAUGACUAACAGUUAGAUUUUGUCUUCAGGAAAGAUAUAAUUCCAUGGUUUCCAUGGAUGGUAAUGCAGAACUUCAAAUAUUAUCAUUCAAAGCCACUAAGAUUAGGCUUUUACGUAGCCUAUGUAUUCACAUUCAAACAAUGCAGGUUCAUUCGCAGCUACACCAAGGACUGGAAAUUCAAGUUACAAGUAUUUUUAUCUUAUAACAAACUGCUAUUUUUUUUUCUUUUUCUUUUUAGUGUAUCUACAAACCGUUUUUGUCUUCAUAUGGUUUAUUUAGGAGACUUCAAUCUUGUUCUUUUCUUUUGCUAUUGUAUAUGGAGAAGUUUAGGCCAUAUGUCCCCUUCUCCCUACUCUUUGUACUGUUUUUAUCAAUAAUAUUAAUGAGAAUUUUCUUUUGCUUA
Molecule: RNA transcript, 2204 nt
Organism: Rosa rugosa (rugosa rose)
Lineage: Eukaryota; Viridiplantae; Streptophyta; Magnoliopsida; Rosales; Rosaceae
Exons: 4
Source: RefSeq, a predicted model, not a curated record